GAUGAACGCUAGCUACAGGCUUAACACAUGCAAGUCGAGGGGUAACAAGAGAAAAGCUUGCUUUUCUUGUUGACGACCGGCGCACGGGUGAGUAACGCGUAUCCAACCUGCCUAUAACUAGGGAAUAACCUUGCGAAAGUAAGACUAAUACCCUAUGAUUUCCUUUGAUGACAUCAGAUUAGGAAUAAAGAUUUAUCGGUUAUAGAUGGGGAUGCGUCUGAUUAGCUUGUUGGCGGGGUAAUGGCCCACCAAGGCAACGAUCAGUAGGGGUUCUGAGAGGAAGGGCCCCCACAUUGGAACUGAGACACGGUCCAAACUCCUACGGGAGGCAGCAGUGAGGAAUAUUGGUCAAUGGGGGGAAGCCUGAACCAGCCAAGUAGCGUGCAGGAUGACGGCCCUAUGGGUUGUAAACUGCUUUUAUACAGGAAUAAAGUUAGCCACGUGUGGUUAUUUGUAGGUACUGUAUGAAUAAGGACCGGCUAAUUCCGUGCCAGCCGCCGCGGUAA
Molecule: ribosomal RNA, 506 nt
Filed under: uncultured bacterium
Lineage: Bacteria
Description: partial 16S ribosomal RNA
Rfam family: Bacterial small subunit ribosomal RNA
Source: RNAcentral